RNAcentral lists this ribosomal RNA (373 nucleotides) under uncultured organism. RNAcentral's name for it is "partial 16S ribosomal RNA". It matches the Rfam family "Bacterial small subunit ribosomal RNA", at positions 527 to 896 of the family's 1533-position model. The record is from RNAcentral.
GUAGGUGGCAAGCGUUGUCCGGAGUUAUUGGGCGUAAAGCGCGCGCAGGUGGUUCUUUAAGUCUGAUGUGAAAGCCCCCGGCUCAACCGGGGAGGGUCAUUGGAAACUGGGGAACUUGAGUGCAGGAGAGGAAAGUGGAAUUCCACGUGUAGCGGUGUAAUGCGUAGAUAUGUGGAGGAACACCAGUGGCGAAGGCGACUUUCUGGCCUGUAACUGACACUGAGGCGCGAAAGCGUGGGGAGCAAACAGGGAUUAGAUACCCUGGUAGUCCACGCCGUAAACGAUGAGUGCUAAGUGUUGGGGGGGUUUCCCGCCCCUCAGUGCUGCAGCUAACGCAUUAAGCACUCCGCCUGGGGAUACGGUCGCAAGACUG